Molecule: ribosomal RNA, 169 nt
Filed under: Stegastes lividus
Lineage: Eukaryota; Metazoa; Chordata; Actinopteri; Pomacentridae
Description: partial small subunit ribosomal RNA
Source: RNAcentral
CACCGCGGUUAUACGAGAGGCUCAAGUUGACAGAUAACGGCGUAAAGAGUGGUUAAGGUGUCCACCAAACUAAAGUCGAAUACCCUCAGAACUGUUAUACGUUUCCGAAGGAAAGAAGCCCCACCACGAAAGUGACUUUACCACCCCUGACCCCACGAAAGCUGUGGCA